GCAGUGUACCCGCGGCAAGACGGAAAGACCCCGUGAACCUUUACUAUAGCUUGACACUGAACAUUGAGCCUUGAUGUGUAGGAUAGGUGGGAGGCUUUGAAGUGUGGACGCCAGUCUGCAUGGAGCCGACCUUGAAAUACCACCCUUUAAUGUUUGAUGUUCUAACGUUGACCCGUAAUCCGGGUUGCGGACAGUGUCUGGUGGGUAGUUUGACUGGGGCGGUCUCCUCCUAAAGAGUAACGGAGGAGCACGAAGGUUGGCUAAUCCUGGUCGGACAUCAGGAGGUUAGUGCAAUGGCAUAAGCCAGCUUGACUGCGAGCGUGACGGCGCGAGCAGGUGCGAAAGCAGGUCAUAGUGAUCCGGUGGUUCUGAAUGGAAGGGCCAUCGCUCAACGGAUAAAAGGUACUCCGGGGAUAACAGGCUGAUACCGCCCAAGAGUUCAUAUCGACGGCGGUGUUUGGCACCUCGAUGUCGGCUCAUCACAUCCUGGGGCUGAAGUAGGUCCCAAGGGUAUGGCUGUUCGCCAUUUAAAGUGGUACGCGAGCUGGGUUUAGAACGUCGUGAGACAGUUCGGUCCCUAUCUGCCGUGGGCGCUGGAGAACUGAGGGGGGCUGCUCCUAGUACGAGAGGACCGGAGUGGACGCAUCACUGGUGUUCGGGUUGUCAUGCCAAUGGCACUGCCCGGUAGCUAAAUGCGGAAGAGAUAAGUGCUGAAAGCAUCUAAGCACGAAACUUGCCCCGAGAUGAGUUCUCCCUGACUCCUUGAGAGUCCUGAAGGAACGUUGAAGACGACGACGUUGAUAGGCCGGGUGUGUAAGCGCAGCGAUGCGUUGAGCUAACCGGUACUAAUGAACCGUGAGG
This 861-nucleotide ribosomal RNA is filed under the name Escherichia coli. RNAcentral's name for it is "partial 23S ribosomal RNA". It matches the Rfam family "Bacterial large subunit ribosomal RNA", at positions 2061 to 2916 of the family's 2925-position model. Lineage: Bacteria; Pseudomonadati; Pseudomonadota; Gammaproteobacteria; Enterobacterales; Enterobacteriaceae. The record is from RNAcentral.